This 994-nucleotide long non-coding RNA is filed under the name Elaeis guineensis (African oil palm). Its description in RNAcentral is "long non-coding RNA (EGUI_LNC075321)". The record is from RNAcentral. Lineage: Eukaryota; Viridiplantae; Streptophyta; Magnoliopsida; Arecales; Arecaceae.
CGGACAUUGAGUCAUGUGAUGAAUGAGUUUUCUGUGUCCCUUCAGGCUGUGGCUGAUCAGCUGGAACCUUAUAUGGAAUAUUUCUUUCUGCCCAUUGCUCUAGAUCCAUCCUGAUCUCCCUAGCUACCACACUGGCUGGUCGUGGAGGAGACCCCGACUCAUCAAGCUCUGGCUCCUGCUCCUGGCCUGCAAGCCAUCCUCAUCAGCAUAAUCAUCUAGUGUCGGAUCAGUGUACUUCAGUUGUACUUUCUUCUGAAUGCAUUUUAGUCUCAACCUCAGAUUAUAGUGAACAUAUACAAGAUCAUUGAGGCAUUUUUAUGUCAGACGAUUUCUCUGUUUGUUGUAAAUAAGGGCAAAAAUUGAUCAAUUACACUCACAGCCACUAGUAGAGACCGUCUGGGAAAGAAUGCAGACAGCCACACCUCUCAAAUAUUUUACGGACAUUCCAAAAUGAAUCCACCAUUCAGCUGCAAAAGCAAAAUUACAUAUCAAAUUUUAUGAUAUUAUUGAGCAAAAUUACAUAUCAAUCUAUGCUGCUCAUUAUUGAUAUGUAAUUUACCUGAAUUUAUCUGCUUUUUGCUUACGACAGUUGAUCGGACACCAUCUUAUAUAUCACAUUACGAAGAGCAGCAAGAAGUUCGUUAUUUAUAUCUAUCCCAGGAAUGGUAUACUGGAAUCUUGUAUUCAAAUAAUAAGCUGCAGAUAAAUUUAUAAUUGAUUAAGUAUACUUUUACAAGUAUAAGAAAAAAAUAUUUUAAAAUAUUCUUGAAUCCGUGCUUAUCGGUUAGAUGCAAAUCUCUAUCCAUCUAAUAGUCCCAACGGCGCUCAAUAAUGUUAAUGAAUUUUUCAGCAUGCUUCGAAUCAUUCUUAUUGAUCUGUUUCUUUGCCCUCUCCAUCAUGUAAUAUAAGAAGCCCAUUUGGGGGUAUCUUUCACUAUCCACAGUGCGAAGCACAUCAUAUAAUGGCUUAAUAGUCUUCACUAUCUUCUCAGCCC